UACGUAGGGGGCAAGCGUUGUCCGGAAUCAUUGGGCGUAAAGAGCGUGUAGGCGGCCAGAUAAGUCCGCUGUGAAAUCUCGAGGCUCAACUUCGAGCUGUCGGUGGAAACUGUCUGGCUAGAGUCCGGAAGAGGAGAAUGGAAUUCCUGGUGUAGCGGUGAAAUGCGCAGAUAUCAGGAAGAACACCCGUGGCGAAGGCGGUUCUCUGGGCAGUAACUGACGCUGAGGAGCGAAAGCGUGGGGAGCGAACAGG
This 253-nucleotide ribosomal RNA is filed under the name uncultured bacterium. Its description in RNAcentral is "partial 16S ribosomal RNA". It matches the Rfam family "Bacterial small subunit ribosomal RNA", at positions 524 to 776 of the family's 1533-position model. The record is from RNAcentral.